AGAAACCCUUGUAAUUUUAAAGAUAUUGUAAUUUUUAUUGGAGGGCAGCCAAGUGUUGUUUUCUAUAACAAAAGCUAUUUCAAUGACUUGGAAGUCAAAAUUUUAUUUCUAUUCUUAACAUUAUGUUUAAGGCCCAUAUUAAGUUUCUCGAUUGUUAUUUUGAGUCUAGUUUCUAAUAAAAAUUAUUUGAGAGAGAAACAUCUUCGAGAAAUAAUGAAUAAAAAUUGCUGAUUGAAGAAAUGUCAUCUUGAAUUUUUG
This 258-nucleotide long non-coding RNA is filed under the name Amborella trichopoda. Its description in RNAcentral is "long non-coding RNA (ATRI_LNC002208)". The record is from RNAcentral. Lineage: Eukaryota; Viridiplantae; Streptophyta; Magnoliopsida; Amborellales; Amborellaceae.